This 539-nucleotide ribosomal RNA is filed under the name Bacillus sp. (in: firmicutes). Its description in RNAcentral is "bacterial SSU rRNA". It matches the Rfam family "Bacterial small subunit ribosomal RNA", at positions 10 to 531 of the family's 1533-position model. The record is from RNAcentral. Lineage: Bacteria; Bacillati; Bacillota; Bacilli; Caryophanales; Bacillaceae.
AGUUUGAUCCUGGCUCAGGACGAACGCUGGCGGCGUGCCUAAUACAUGCAAGUCGAGCGGACAGAUGGGAGCUUGCUCCCUGAUGUUAGCGGCGGACGGGUGAGUAACACGUGGGUAACCUGCCUGUAAGACUGGGAUAACUCCGGGAAACCGGGGCUAAUACCGGAUGCUCGUUUGAACCGCAUGGUUCAAACAUAAAAGGUGGCUUCGGCUACCACUUACAGAUGGACCCGCGGCGCAUUAGCUAGUUGGUGAGGUAACGGCUCACCAAGGCAACGAUGCGUAGCCGACCUGAGAGGGUGAUCGGCCACACUGGGACUGAGACACGGCCCAGACUCCUACGGGAGGCAGCAGUAGGGAAUCUUCCGCAAUGGACGAAAGUCUGACGGAGCAACGCCGCGUGAGUGAUGAAGGUUUUCGGAUCGUAAAGCUCUGUUGUUAGGGAAGAACAAGUACCGUUCGAAUAGGGCGGUACCUUGACGGUACCUAACCAGAAAGUCACGGCUAACUACGUGCCAGCAGCCGCGGUAAUACGUAGG